GAUUAAAUGGCUGAAAAAUAGUGGUAGACUGUAAAUCUAUAAAUAAGAAUUUAUUCUUUUUAAUCA
RNAcentral lists this transfer RNA (66 nucleotides) under Tanytarsus formosanus. RNAcentral's name for it is "tRNA-Tyr". It matches the Rfam family "tRNA". Rfam says of the family: Transfer RNA (tRNA) molecules are approximately 80 nucleotides in length. Their secondary structure includes four short double-helical elements and three loops (D, anti-codon, and T loops). Further hydrogen bonds mediate the characteristic L-shaped molecular structure. tRNAs have two regions of fundamental functional importance: the anti-codon, which is responsible for specific mRNA codon recognition, and the 3' end, to which the tRNAs corresponding amino acid is attached (by aminoacyl-tRNA synthetases). tRNAs cope with the degeneracy of the genetic code in two manners: having more than one tRNA (with a specific anti-codon) for a particular amino acid; and 'wobble' base-pairing, i.e. permitting non-standard base-pairing at the 3rd anti-codon position. The record is from RNAcentral. Lineage: Eukaryota; Metazoa; Arthropoda; Insecta; Diptera; Chironomidae.